GUGGGGAAUCUUCCGCAAUGGACGAAAGUCUGACGGAGCAACGCCGCGUGAGUGAUGAAGGUCUUCGGAUUGUAAAGCUCUGUUAAUCGGGACGAAAGAGCCUAGUGUGAAUAAUGCUAGGAAGUGACGGUACCGGAAUAGAAAGCCACGGCUAACUACGUGCCAGCAGCCGCGGUAAUACGUAGGUGGCAAGCGUUGUCCGGAAUUAUUGGGCGUAAAGCGCGCGCAGGCGGAUCUGCCAGUCUGUCUUAAAAGUUCGGGGCUUAACCCCGUGAUGGGAUGGAAACUACAGAUCUAGAGUAUCGGAGAGGAAAGUGGAAUUCCUAGUGUAGCGGUGAAAUGCGUAGAUAUUAGGAAGAACACCAGUGGCGAAGGCGACUUUCUAGACGAAAACUGACGCUGAGGCGCGAAAGCCAGGGGAGCGAACGGGAUUAGAAACCCUUGUAGUCC
This 450-nucleotide ribosomal RNA is filed under the name uncultured bacterium. RNAcentral's name for it is "partial 16S ribosomal RNA". It matches the Rfam family "Bacterial small subunit ribosomal RNA", at positions 354 to 796 of the family's 1533-position model. The record is from RNAcentral.